Long non-coding RNA from Brassica napus (rape), 3410 nucleotides. RefSeq lists it as uncharacterized. The record is from RefSeq and is a predicted model, not a curated record. Lineage: Eukaryota; Viridiplantae; Streptophyta; Magnoliopsida; Brassicales; Brassicaceae. The transcript has 2 exons.
UAAUUAUAACAAAUAUGAAGACCAUAGUAUAAAAUAAAAAUAUUUUUAAGUUAAUUUUGAAGUUUUGUUUUUGGAGAAGAACAACUCUAAACUUUAAAUAUGAAGUUUGCAAGUUUUAAAAUAGAUUAUCCUUUCGUAGAUGCUCUUAGACCAUCUCAAACCUUUCUUUAUUUUUAUAUUAUAAAAAAUUCAAAAAUGUAAAUGAAUUUUUGUUCCAAUGCAUUUUUUAUAAUAAAUGAAUGAUAUAGUUUAUAUCAUAAAAGAAUGCUAUUCGGAGGAAAACUAAUAGUUUUCUAUAAUAAAAAAAAUAUAGCAUUCUUUUAUUACAGAAACACAUUUAAAUAAUUUUUUUUUUUAUAAUUUCUCUAUUAUAUAGAGAGAAAAUAAAGUUAGAUUAGAGAUACUCUAACUUAUAAUUUUUCUUCUAGUCGAGAAUAGACUAAAAUAAAUAGAGUUUGAGUUGAACCGUUAAAAAUGUUGACUGAUACAAUAUCAAAAUACAAUUUAUAAUAAAAAAAAUUAUUUUGGGUUCAAGUUGCCACAUUUCAAAGUGACUCACUUUCCAUUUAUACUCAGAGAAACCAAUUUAUUUGUAGAGUAUUUGCAUCAUAUAGCCAGGAAUCAGAAAAUAAUUAAGUAAAUGGCAUAGCUGCGAAAAUAAUAAUGUACACAUUUCAUAUUACCCACGAUGCCCCUACCAUAACUCUGAGCUGAGUCUGACACACUAAACUCUAGAGUCUAUGAUCUUGUAAUUAUUACGCUACUCUACCCUAUUACACGUAACCGGUUAACAGUGGGAGACUAAACAAUAUUCAAAUUUGUAAUUACAUCAUCUCAUUGUCUCACUUCUGUUCUCUUUCUUCUUUGUGAAGAUUUUGAUUCGGUUCAUACUAUUAUAUUUCCCGAUUCGGAUCUCCUUUUCUCCUCCCCUAACUGUCUGACCAGGAUCUGAGCAAAUUCCAUCUCAAGAAAGAACUGACUCAAAUAAAAAAAGCUUCUAUGAGUUUUACGCGAUCCAGGUACCUCUUCCUCUUGGAGAUCCCCUCUCACCUCCUCCAGAUCCAUCGCCGCCACAGUGUGCAGAAACGGCGAGCCAGAACGCUAGCAGCUCAGAAAGUCCCCACUCGAAUAUAUCAGAAUUGCAGGGGUUAAUGUAUGGGUCUUGACAAGUGACAAACAAGAAACUCCAAUAUCCUAUGGAUUCUCAUCGAGGCUUCUGACUAGAAACAUGAGGCAAAUUGUAACAACUACUAACUCAUCAUAAAAAAAACUAGUAACUCAUUGAAUUCAUGUCGGAGGAGCUUAGAAGAAGAGAAUGUCAGUAUUGCAAGUGAUGAGGAAAGGAUGGCCUUCAUUAUUGACGGUACCAGUCUCGUAUGUAUUUCUUUUCUUUUUUCUUUUUACUAUGUAGAUCUUCCAAGUGGCAUGUAAAUGCUCUGCAUACUCUGCUACCGUGUUGCUCCCUUUCAGAAACUAGAAUCGUUGCACUUGUAAAGAACCGGACUUCUGACAUGACCGUUGCCAUUGGUGAUGGUGCCAAUGAUGUCUCCAUGAUCCAAAUGGAUGAUGUUGUAGUAGGGAUCAGCGGCUAAGAAGGUAGGCAAGCUGUAAUGGCAUCUGAUUUCGCAAGGGGACAGUGCAUAUUCUUAGUUCCGCUAUUGCUAGUCCAUGGAUACUGGAAUAACGGAAGAAUGGGAUACAAGAUACUAUACAAUUUCUACAAAAUGCAGUUUUUGUUCUAAUUUAUACAAUUUAUAAAGACUUUUUAACUGUCUUUCAUAAUCCGGAUCAACUAUGUAUUAUCCGGUUCUAAUAAGCAUUGAUGAUACGAAUACAUAAUGUAUUUUCUAGAUAUUAUCUUUUUAAUCCGGAUUAUUUUUAUUGUACAAUUAUUAGACACAUUCAUGAAUUUUAUUGCAAAAAUGGUAAUAACACAAUACCACCACAAUAUAUAUCCAUUUUUACUUCGUGAAGCAGCGACAUAAGCUUGGAGAGGAAGAUCAAGCUGCUGUGCUGCUCAUGGCUCUCUAGUAUGGCUCAGUAUAUGAUUAGUGGUUUAUAGAUCCCAUCAUUGUAGACGGUGGCUAAUCCACAACAAUUACUAGGGAUUUCCUCUUUAAUCCAGAUAGCAAUGAUGAUUACUAAGACUUACAAACAUAUUUUUUGGUUAACCGUAAAUUUGUUAACUUUGAUUAAAUCCAGAUAUUUUGUUUGAUUUACUGAAGCUAACUAUGAUUUAAUCCGACUACUUUUUACCCAUAUAUUUGUAGAGUUUGUUAAUGGCUAAUAAUUCAUAAUAUACAAUUUGUGUAUGAACCAUUUAAUUUGGAUGCUAAACGACAAUGAGUUGGUAUUGUAAUUUAUAAGCUACUCAAAUAUCUUAAAAUAUUCUUGUUUUAUCAUAAUAUCUACAAAAAUAUUUAUAAAUGAGUUUUAUAAUCGGAUAAUAAAUAGAUAAUCUGGAUUAUGACAGUAAUAGCCGGAUAAUAAGUUUUUUUGUUUGUAAUAUCAAUGUGUAUUAUAACUGGAUUGCAAAUCAUGUUCUCAAGUUGAUUAAUUAUAAAAGAUGAAUUAGUAUGUACGUGUGAGUUUUAACUGGGUAUUAGGAAGUUAAUCCGGAUAAAGCUUGCAAUAGCCAACAAUAUCAUUUGUUAGCCGGAAUUAACCUGUGAUAUACCUUGAUAUGUAUAUCAUCUUAUUUUAGUUCAUUGAAGUGGCUUUAUGAUGCAUUUAGGUGUAUAUACUGCAUGUAUAGGUUUAUUUUCAUUGAUAGGGGCUAAAGUGAACAUUUGAAGUUUUAGGUUGAAACCUCAAAGAUAGUUCUGCAACUUAGUAAGUUUCAGGUCAAAAAUACAAACUAUACAGAGAUCAAGGAUCAUUUUUUCAUGUGUGAAGAGGUCUAGAAUGUACAAUCAAAACGCUAGGGAUUAAUUCGAGAAAAUAUAUGUACAAUGCAAGAGUUCGGAGUCAGAAACAAAACUAUGAAAAAUCUUAGGAUCAUAUAUGCAAAAGAGCCAAACUUGGCCAUUGUUGUCUCAGCGAGCUUUUGGAGACCAAUUGGAGUCGCGACGGUGAAAGCCACCAAUUCCAAAUCCAGAGCAUGACAACCGCGGGAGAGGAGCAAGGCGAUGAACGGCGGAUCUGGACGAAGAGACACAUCAGAGUGUUCGACAAGACGCGGAGGUGAUGCAGUAUAGAGGAGACUCAGAUUGAAAAACCCAGAAAUACAAUAAAACAAUGGACCAAAUAACCAAGUCUCAUCAUGAAACAAGGAACCAAACCGAAAAAUACAGUGAAACAAGGAAAUAAGAAGAUCCAAAUUUUAGUAAAAGAAAAAGGACAUAAGAAGAACCCAGAAAUCGUGACAAAAAAAGAAGAUCCCAGAAAAUACAGUGAAAUAAAGAACCAAA